This 809-nucleotide ribosomal RNA is filed under the name Malachiinae sp. GENSP01. Its description in RNAcentral is "partial 16S ribosomal RNA". The stretch from base 575 to 732 matches the Rfam family "Archaeal large subunit ribosomal RNA", at positions 2542 to 2701 of the family's 2987-position model. The record is from RNAcentral. Lineage: Eukaryota; Metazoa; Arthropoda; Insecta; Coleoptera; Melyridae.
AAAUAAUGUUAUAAUUUAUUAUUAAAAAAUUUUAUUAUAUUAAAUUUAUUUUUUUAUUUAAAAUUUAUUUUAAAUUAAUUAAAAUAUUUUAUAAUGAUAAAAUUAGUAUUAUAUUAUAUUAAAUUAUAGAAUUAUUUAAAGGUAAAUUUAAGGAAUUCGGCAAAUAUAUUGUUCACCUGUUUAAUAAAAACAUGUCCUUUUGAUAAUAAUUUAAGGUCUAAUCUGCCCACUGAAUAUUAAAUGGCCGCAGUAAUUUGACUGUGCUAAGGUAGCAUAAUAAUUAGUUUUUUAAUUGAAAGCUGGAAUGAAUGAUUGGAUGAGAUAAUAACUGUCUCAAUUUUAUUUAAAAAGAAUUUUAUUUUUAAGUUAAAAAGCUUAAAUUUUAUUAAUAGACGAGAAGACCCUAUAGAGUUUUAUAAAAAAAUAGUAAUUUAAUUUUUUUUAUAAAUAAUUAUUUUUUAUUUAUUUAUUUUGUUGGGGUGACAAGAAAAUUUAAUUAACUUUUUUUUUAAUUAACAUUAAUAAAUGAUUAAAUGAUCCAUAUUAAAUGAUUAAAAGAUUAAAUUACCUUAGGGAUAACAGCGUAAUUUUUUUUAGAGUUCUUAUCGAAAAAAAAGAUUGCGACCUCGAUGUUGGAUUAAAGUAAAAUUUUGGUGUAGAAGCUGAUUUUUUAAGUCUGUUCGACUUUUAAUACUUUACAUGAUCUGAGUUUAAACCGGUGUAAGCCAGGUUGGUUUCUAUCUUUAAUUAAUUAAAAUAUUUUAGUACGAAAGGACCAAAUAUUUAAUAAAUUAUUUAUUUUUAUUGAA